UCCCUGGUGGUCCAGUGGUUAAGACACUGCCCUUUCACUGCCAAGGGCACAGGUUCAAUCCCUGGUCAGGGAA
This 73-nucleotide transfer RNA is filed under the name Ovis aries (sheep). It matches the Rfam family "tRNA". Rfam says of the family: Transfer RNA (tRNA) molecules are approximately 80 nucleotides in length. Their secondary structure includes four short double-helical elements and three loops (D, anti-codon, and T loops). Lineage: Eukaryota; Metazoa; Chordata; Mammalia; Artiodactyla; Bovidae. The record is from Rfam by way of RNAcentral.